This 407-nucleotide ribosomal RNA is filed under the name uncultured bacterium. RNAcentral describes it as "partial 16S ribosomal RNA". It matches the Rfam family "Bacterial small subunit ribosomal RNA", at positions 30 to 526 of the family's 1533-position model. The record is from RNAcentral.
AUUGAACGCUAGCGGGAUGCCUUACACAUGCAAGUCGAACGGAGUGGCGAACGGGUGAGUACUGUAUCGGAACGUGCCCGGUAGCGGGGGAUAACUACGCGAAAGCGUAGCUAAUACCGCAUACGAUUAGAGCGGCCUAAAUCGGAUUAGCUAGUUGGUGGGGUAACGGCUCACCAAGGCGACGAUCCGUAGCUGGUUUGAGAGGACGACCGGCCACACGGGGACUGAGACACGGCCCAGACUCCUACGGGAGGCAGCAGUGGGGAAUUUUGGACAAUGGGGGAAACCCUGAGCCAGCCAGCCCGCGUGUGCGAUGAAGGCCUUCGGGUUGUAAAGCACUUUUGGCAGGAAAGCGGUACCUACAGAAUAAGCACCGGCUAACUACGUGCCAGCAGCCGCGGUAAUAC